CGGUAGCUUCCUGCGAUGCCUUGCUCUUUUUUGGCGGCGUCGAUCUCUGCGAGCUCGCCGGGCUUGCGGCGUGUACCUGGAAUACCGGUGAUCGGAUGAGAUUGUUUCUCUUUACGACCACCGAAGCAUCAGCUUUCGUCCCUUCUUCCGGCAGUUGGCGCGGCGAUCUUGUGUAACGUGUGUGGUAUGUUGGGUGUGUGUGGCGUGUAUGUGGUG
This 216-nucleotide long non-coding RNA is filed under the name Drosophila guanche. Lineage: Eukaryota; Metazoa; Arthropoda; Insecta; Diptera; Drosophilidae. The record is from RNAcentral.